AUUGAACGCUGGCGGAAUGCUUUACACAUGCAAGUCGAACGGCAGCACGGACUUCGGUCUGGUGGCGAGUGGCGAACGGGUGAGUAAUGUAUCGUAACGUGCCCAGUCGUGGGGGAUAACGUAGUGAAAAUUACGCUAAUACCGCAUACGCUCUAUGGAUGAAAGCGGGGGAUCGCAAGACCUUGCGCGAUUGGAGCGGCCGAUAUCAGAUUAGGUAGUUGGUGGGGUAAAGGCCCACCAAGGCGACGAUCAGUAGCUGGUCUGAGAGGACGAUCAGCCACACUGGGACUAAGACACUGCCCAGACUCCUACGGGAGGCAGCAGUGGUGAAUUUUGGACAAUGGGGGCAACCCUGAUCCAGCAAUGCCGCGUGAGUGAAGAAGGCCUGCGGGUUGUAAAGCUCUUUUGUCAGGGAAGAAACACCGGCUCUAACACAGUCCGGGAAUGACGGUACCUGAAGAAUAAGCACCGGCUAACUACGUGCCAGCCGCCGCCGUAA
This 499-nucleotide ribosomal RNA is filed under the name uncultured bacterium. Its description in RNAcentral is "partial 16S ribosomal RNA". It matches the Rfam family "Bacterial small subunit ribosomal RNA", at positions 30 to 523 of the family's 1533-position model. The record is from RNAcentral.